Molecule: long non-coding RNA, 2719 nt
Organism: Homo sapiens (human)
Lineage: Eukaryota; Metazoa; Chordata; Mammalia; Primates; Hominidae
Gene: ACAD9-DT
Product: ACAD9 divergent transcript
Source: Ensembl
CCCUUACUAUUAAAGCUGAGGCUGAGAUUGGACUGAUUAUUUUACAAGCCAAAGACCACCAAACCAUCAAAAGGUAGGAGAAAGGCUUUCCUGCAGAUGCUGCUGCAAAGACCUGCCCCUUCCACCUUACACCACCAUCCCCAAGGGCCUAGAGGCCUCUGCCUAGAGCUGGGGGAAGAGGAGACUGCGAAGAACGAUCCCAUCUUUUAAAAACCGGACAGAAAUCACGGAUUCCUUCCACUUACAUUCCCUUGGGAAGAACUUAAUUUGGGGGCAGGGGCUAGGAAAGGGAGUGCCUGGGCAGAAACGGUUUUGACAAGCGUUCGUAUCAGGACAAUUUGGGAAAACCCAGGUGAGUGAUUACUGAGUGACCCUCGACUCCGGUGUUUUGACACCAAAAUGUGCAAGGCUUCCUCUCUGAUUCUUAAACAUCUCAGGCCAUGCCGCUCCCAUGUCACCCUCUAGUGGCCUGUGGGCUUCCUUGCCAGCUGAGCCCUAGCCCUACCCCCGCCUUUGAGGUUCCGCAGAAAUCUAGCUGCAGGGUGACUUCCACAGGUCUCACAACCCAGCCAAUAGUAACAGCUAGGUUAUUAAACACACCAUCCUCUUAGAGGUGAAAGGCUUAGCCUUGGGUUCAAUUCAUUCAGCUUUAAAAUGGAGCUAGUGAUUUGUCUCACUUGAAGAUGUUGUAGAGCCCAGUGAGAUAUGUAGUGCAUGGAGAUUGGAAGGUACUGUGCAGCAGAGGACAUGGACAGUGCAGGCUCAAGAAGAUCUUGUGACCUUGAGCAAGUCACUUUUCCUCCCUGUUCCUCAGUGUGCUCAUCUACAAAAUAGGAGUAAACACAGUAGCGUUUCCCCCUUCCUAGGGGUGCCUUGUUUUCAGCUUGGCUGAAUGUUGGCUGAUCCUGUAUCACAGAAGUUAUUCCCUGGCUUCUCUUUGGAACAUUCCUCUGAGGUUGUCAGGCUGAUCCCUUUAUAGCAAGCAACUUUACAGAUGCAGAAGCUAAGACUCAGACUAAAAGCAGCUUGCCCUGCUAGGAAAUGCAGAGCUAUGUCUUUAACAUAUGGGAAACCCUUUUACCCAGGACCUGGGGCAGUGUGGUGCUCUAUCCUGGGAUCUCCUGCCUCCCAGCAGCAUGGCGAAGAAAGAACACAAAUCUUUCAGAUCUGUUUCCAUCUUUAAACCUCUGGCACCACCUGUCCUGCCCUGCCCUUUCUCUCAGCUGUCAGCUUUGCUUCCCAUUCCACUGGGAAAAUCCAUGCAGUCAGAUGAGAACUUCACAGGCACAGUUACCCCCUCCCCCUGCAUAUGUGCCCACAUUAUCUACAUUCUGUUACUAUGAACUGUCUGCUCCUGGCAAAACCAACCUCUCAUUAGACCCCAGACCUUCUCACUUACUGAAGGGUAAUUUCCUUUCUCUGCAUCAUUAACUGUUCUCUCUAAUGGAUCUUGAGCCCUUACCAUUCAGGCGUUUGUCCCUAAUGGCCAUGGAAGUCAGUAGUGACCUCUCUGUUGUCAAAUCAUGUGAUCUGUUCUCAGACCUCAUCCUACUUGGCCCAUCUUUGGCAUCUGACACCGUUCAUCCUUCCACCCUGUUGACACACUUUGUUCUCUGGUUUCUGAAUCACAAUUCUCACUAUACUCUGAAUGUUCUAAAUACUUCACUGGCUGAUACUUCUGUGUCCAUUGCUGGUUCCUUCUUGGCUCCUCAACUGCUAAACACUGGCCAUGUUUUUCACUAGCACAGUUGGAGUUGUCUAUGGCUCAGAAUGUGGACAUUUCUUUUCCUCUACAACCAUCCCGUGGAUGACCUAAUUUAGUGUCCUGACUUUAACUACCAUCAAUAUCCUGAUGGCUCACAUUUCUCUUGCAGCGCAGAUUUUCCCCUCAACUCUAGUUUUUAUAUCUGUCUUUGUACUCAAAAGCUCCAUAUAGAGAUCUAAUAGGCAUCUAAAAGUGGCAUAUGCAAAUCUGAGUUCCCCAUCCCACCCAGUCCUGUUUUCCCACAAGUGUUCUUUAUCUAGUUAAUGGCGACUCUUAUUCCACUUGUUCAGACCGAACAUAUGCGGUCACUUGUGUCCCCUCUUAUUCUCCUAGUCAACAUCCAAUUGAGCAGCAAGUCCAGUGCUCUCUGCCUUCAAGUUAGUUAUAUUGAGAAUGACCACUUUUAGGCCCCUCCUCUGAUACUACAUUGGGUCAAGCCAGUGUCAUCUCUCAGCAUUACUGGGACUUGGGUUAAUUAGGUAAGAUGAAACAUGAAGGAUUAGAAAUAAAGGCUGAAUACAGACUUAAAACCAGGAAUCCAGACUAAACACUCAAACAUGGAGUCCAUCGUGGCCCCAGGGCCUUUGCGCUUGGCAUUCUCUCCAUCUGGAACACUCUGCCCAUUGCGUUAGUUGUUCUCUAAAUGCCUUCAGGCAUUCUCAGAAACGUCCUGACUUUGUCUUCCUUCAUGGUACAUGUCAUCACCUGCCUGUGUAUUGUUUCCUUAUUUUUUUCUCUUUCUUUCCUACUAGGCUGUCAGCCCAUCAGAAUGGAGACUUCUGCCUGCUUCUCCCCUUGGUGUGCCUUGGUUUCUGGAACAGGCCCAGCAUGCAGUGGGGUCUCAGUGAAUGUGCACUGAAGGAGUAGAUACUGGAGAGCACAAACACGUAUCAGGUGGCAGCACAGGAAAGGUGCUUGCUCAGAGUACCCCUCCCUCUGCCUCCUGACGGACCC